UGGGAAUCGAGACGGAUCCAUUGGAGGGACAGAGGCCACGGCGUCCACAGGCGGCAAAGGGAGGCGGCGACGCCUCACCUUCACCUCAGAAUUCCAGCCUCUUUAGAGGGCCUGGCGGUCUCUCUACCACCACCACCACACAACCCUCGUGGCCGCCUCUGGUCCCAGGGAACCCUCCAACGACAUGGUUUUCAUGCCUGCCAGAUGGUGAGAUUGCAUCGUUCCUUUAUCUCCUACUGUUUAUGUUUAUGAGCUAGCUCUGUGCAAGCAUAUAUCAGAUGCCAUCUGUGUUACUUCAAUGGAAGCUACUGUAGUUAGUUGCCUUCAAGGACGCGGUGGAGUUUCAUCUUUAUGCCUCCAUGCGGUUCCCUAUAUUGGAGCGCUGGCCUUCUUGAAGAUCUGGACGAAUUCACGGCCCUGGAUGUCGCUCUUGCAGGUGGCAAGUGAAGCACUGCUCCCGUGGCCGUGAUGUGCAGGAACUUUACCGGUACAAGCAUCUUCAGUGUAGCAGAAGCUGCGUAUGGUUCUGCUGACCUGGACAUUUCCCUCGAGAAGCUAGAUGCAGCCUGCACAUCUUAUUGGUUUUUCAGUGGGUUGUCUCCUCUGGGUUUUCAGCCUGCACAGCUGGGAUUACUCAUUUGUGAACCGACUCAUUUUUUUGUCAAAUCCCCUUAAUUCGGAGUUUACAACAGUCUUAAGCAGAGCCCAGGUAGAGGUACGCAUCCGACUCCAUAAUUUUCAUCAUUCAUCUCCGAUCUCACCACAUGGAAGUUUGCGAAUUCUAAUUUCUGUAACUUGGGUCUAUUUCAUAAGAUCUGGUAUAGUUGUGUAUGUUGCUAAAUGCCAAGAUGUGUGUUUUCAACUUAUUUUGGUUGCAUAGGACAUCAAGAAAAUUUGUUGAUUAUUUGGUUGAAACAUAUGUUGCAGAGGCUGAAGCGAUUACUGCUACUUAAGCUGUUGUAAGGCCCAGACAAGUUAAUGUGAGAUGGGGCAUUCAGUUAAAAGAGAGCAGUCUCCAGAUGCCAUACCGAACGUGAAAGUGUUGCACUGUAAAUGAGAUUGCAGAAGUGCAGAGGGAAUAUUUCAAGUGUACCAAGUGUCGUGAAGCUUAAAGAUCUGAUUAUGAUAUUCGUUGAUCUACACCGUCAAUUUGGUGGCCUAAUGGGCAGAAAUAUUUGACAAGUAUGGUUCUCCCUCAACAGCGGGAGACAUUGCGGCUAGGCCAGCACAGCCAUCAACCAGCAACACAGAAAAACCAACCAGCUACAGAAAAAGCUCCAAUGGCUUCUCAACCUGACGAUGCUCCAAAUACAGUAGAAGACAACAGAACUUCAGAUGCCACACGAGGAGGGAUAUCAUAGAAAAGCCCGACUCAGAUGGAGACGAGGUCAGUGCAAACUAUAGUUAUCCCAUUCAUUUAACUCCCAGCAGCCACAACUUAUGAGGCACACAAUUACAGCGCAAAGCAUAUCGACUAAAGCUAUUAUUUUCAUUUAACGAUGUUAGCUCUGCAUCUGAAAAGAAGAAGAGGAAGGCAUCAACUUCCGCAUCAACCAAGAAACAAGUCAGGAAAGCGCUCUUCCCACAGAAAUAAGGAUCUUGGUAGUUGCCGUUUUUAAACGGUUCAGACCAACAUGAAGGAGAGAAGAUCGGCUCGGCUAGGACGGAUAUUUGUAAUAUAUAUUAUGGGACUACCAGCUACUCUAGAGUGCUUGUGUCUUUGAUGUGUAAUAUUUGGUACCUACUACCCAGCUAUGCCCUAAGACGUACCACCGUGUAUAUUUGCAUGCCUGCUUCUCCAAGGCUAUCUACUGUCGUGUAUAACUACACAAACUGCUAGGAAAAGUUUUACUUGCAA
This is a long non-coding RNA of Lolium rigidum, 1858 nucleotides long. RefSeq lists it as uncharacterized. The transcript has 3 exons. NCBI's taxonomy places the organism in Eukaryota, Viridiplantae, Streptophyta, Magnoliopsida, Poales, Poaceae. The record is from RefSeq and is a predicted model, not a curated record.